GACGAACGCUGGCGGCGUGCCUAAUACAUGCAAGUCGAACGCACUCUCGUUUAGAUUGACGGAGUUUGCUCCUGAUUGAUAAACAUUUGAGUGAGUGGCGGACGGGUGAGUAACACGUGGGUAACCUGCCCUAAAGUGGGGGAUAACAUUUGGAAACAGAUGCUCAUACCGCCUAAAACCUAACACCGCAUGGUGUAGGGUUGAAAGAUGGUUUCGGCUAUCACUUUAGGAUGGACCCGCGGUGCAUUAGUUAGUUGGUGAGGUAAAGGCUCACCAAGACCGUGAUGCAUAGCCGACCUGAGAGGGUAAUCGGCCACACUGGGACUGAGACACGGCCCAGACUCCUACGGGAGGCAGCAGUAGGGAAUCUUCCACAAUGGACGAAAGUCUGAUGGAGCAACGCCGCGUGAGUGAAGAAGGUGUUCGGAUCGUAAAACUCUGUUGUUGGAGAAGAAUGUAUCUGAUAGUAACUGAUCAGGUAGUGACGGUAUCCAAGCAGAAAGCCACGGCUAACUACGUG
RNAcentral lists this ribosomal RNA (520 nucleotides) under uncultured bacterium. Its description in RNAcentral is "partial 16S ribosomal RNA". It matches the Rfam family "Bacterial small subunit ribosomal RNA", at positions 28 to 507 of the family's 1533-position model. The record is from RNAcentral.